RNAcentral lists this ribosomal RNA (430 nucleotides) under bacterium. Its description in RNAcentral is "partial 16S ribosomal RNA". It matches the Rfam family "Bacterial small subunit ribosomal RNA", at positions 355 to 776 of the family's 1533-position model. The record is from RNAcentral.
UGGGGAAUAUUGGACAAUGGGCGCAAGCCUGAUCCAGCCAUGCCGCGUGUGUGAAGAAGGCCAUUUGGUUGUAAAGCACUUUAAGCGAGGAGGAGGCUACUUGGAUUAAUACUCUAGGAUAGUGGACGUUACUCGCAGAAUAAGCACCGGCUAACUCUGUGCCAGCAGCCGCGGUAAUACAGAGGGUGCGAGCGUUAAUCGGAUUUACUGGGCGUAAAGCGUGCGUAGGCGGCUUCUUAAGUCGGAUGUGAAAUCCCUGAGCUUAACUUAGGAAUUGCAUUCGAUACUGGGAAGCUAGAGUAUGGGAGAGGAUGGUAGAAUUCCAGGUGUAGCGGUGAAAUGCGUAGAGAUCUGGAGGAAUACCGAUGGCGAAGGCAGCCAUCUGGCCUAAUACUGACGCUGAGGUACGAAAGCAUGGGGAGCAAACAGG